AUUGAACGCUGGCGGCAGGCUUAACACAUGCAAGCCGAACGAUGAAGAUAUAGCUUGCUAUACUGGAUUAGUGGCGGACGGGUGAGUAACACUUAGGAAUCUACCUUUUAGCGGGGGAUAGCUCGGGGAAACUCGAAUUAAUACCGCAUAAUUUCUACGGAAUAAAGAGGGCUUUUAGCUCUCACUAGAAGAUGAGCCUAAGUAAGAUUAGCUAGUUGGUGGGGUAAAGGCCUACCAAGGCGACGAUCUUUAGCUGGGCUGAGAGGAUGAUCAGCCACACUGGGACUGAGACACGGCCCAGACUCCUACGGGAGGCAGCAGUGGGGAAUAUUGGACAAUGGGGGCAACCCUGAUCCAGCCAUGCCGCGUGUGUGAAGAAGGCCUUUUGGUUGUAAAGCACUUUAAGCAGUGAAGAAGACCUAUUGGUUAAUACCCAAUAGCGAUGACAUUAACUGCAGAAUAAGCACCGGCUAACUCUGUGCCAGCAGCCGCGGUAAUACAGAGGGUGCAAGCGUUAAUCGGAAUUACUGGGCGUAAAGCGAGCGUAGGUGGUUAAAUAAGUCAGAUGUGAAAGCCCUGGGCUCAACCUAGGAACGGCAUCUGAAACUAUUUAACUAGAGUAGGUGAGAGGGAAGUAGAAUUUCAGGUGUAGCGGUGAAAUGCGUAGAGAUCUGAAGGAAUACCGAUGGCGAAGGCAGCUUCCUGGCAUCAUACUGACACUGAGGCUCGAAAGCGUGGGUAGCAAACAGG
Molecule: ribosomal RNA, 750 nt
Filed under: uncultured bacterium
Lineage: Bacteria
Description: bacterial SSU rRNA
Rfam family: Bacterial small subunit ribosomal RNA
Source: RNAcentral